RNAcentral lists this ribosomal RNA (522 nucleotides) under uncultured Glomus. RNAcentral's name for it is "SSU rRNA". It matches the Rfam family "Eukaryotic small subunit ribosomal RNA", at positions 569 to 1092 of the family's 1831-position model. The record is from RNAcentral. Lineage: Eukaryota; Fungi; Glomeromycota; Glomeromycetes; Glomerales; Glomeraceae.
AGCAGCCGCGGUAAUUCCAGCUCCAAUAGCGUAUAUUAAAGUUGUUGCAGUUAAAAAGCUCGUAGUUGAAUUUCGGGAUCAGUACGCUGGUCGUGCCUUCGGUAUGUACUGGUGUUACUGGUUCCUACCUUCUGACGAACCGUCAUGUCAUUAACUUGGUGUGGCGGGGAAUCAGGACUGUUACUUUGAAAAAAUUAGAGUGUUUAAAGCAGGCUCGCGCUUGAAUACAUUAGCAUGGAAUAAUGAAAUAGGACGUUCGAUCCUAUUUUGUUGGUUUCUAGGAUUGACGUAAUGAUUAAUAGGGAUAGUUGGGGGCAUUAGUAUUCAAUUGUCAGAGGUGAAAUUCUUGGAUUUAUUGAAGACUAACUACUGCGAAAGCAUUUGCCAAGGAUGUUUUCAUUAAUCAAGAACGAAAGUUAGGGGAUCGAAGACGAUCAGAUACCGUCGUAGUCUUAACCAUAAACUAUGCCGACUAGGGAUCGGAUGAUGUUAAUUUUUUAAUGACUCAUUCGGCGCCUUACG